Molecule: ribosomal RNA, 849 nt
Filed under: Mesorhizobium sp.
Lineage: Bacteria; Pseudomonadati; Pseudomonadota; Alphaproteobacteria; Hyphomicrobiales; Phyllobacteriaceae
Description: bacterial SSU rRNA
Rfam family: Bacterial small subunit ribosomal RNA
Source: RNAcentral
ACGGGUGAGUAACGCGUGGGAAUCUACCCAUCACUACGGAACAACUCCGGGAAACUGGAGCUAAUACCGUAUACGUCCUUCGGGAGAAAGAUUUAUCGGUGAUGGAUGAGCCCGCGUUGGAUUAGCUAGUUGGUGGGGUAAUGGCCUACCAAGGCGACGAUCCAUAGCUGGUCUGAGAGGAUGAUCAGCCACACUGGGACUGAGACACGGCCCACACUCCUACGGGAGGCAGCAGUGGGGAAUAUUGGACAAUGGGCGAAAGCCUGAUCCAGCCUUGCCGCGUGAGUGAUGAAGGCCCUAGGGUUGUAAAGCUCUUUCGCAGGUGAAGAUAAUGACGGUAACCUGAGAAGAAGCCCCGGCUAACUUCGUGCCACCUGCCGCGGAAAUACGAAGGGGGCUAGCGUUGUUCGGAAUUACUGGGCGUAAAGCGCACGUAGGCGGACAUUUAAGUCAGGGGUGAAAUCCCGGGGCUCAACCCCGGAACUGCCUUUGAUACUGGGUGUCUCGAGUCCGGAAGAGGUGAGUGGAAUUCCGAGUGUAGAGGUGAAAUUCGUAUAUAUUCGGAGGAACACCAGUGUGCGAAGGCGGCUCACUGGUCCGGUACUGACGCUGAGAUGCGAAUGCGUGGGGAGCAAACAGGAUUAGAUACCCUGGUAGUCCACGACGUAUACGAUGGAAGCUAGUCGUCGGCCAGUUUACCUGUCGUUGGCGCUGCUAACGCAUUUAGCUUUCCCGCCUGGGGAGUACGGUCUCACGAUUUAAACUCAAAGGCAUUUGACGGGCGCCCGCACGAGCAGAUGUUAGCAUGUGGUUUUCAGUGCGACGCACGCGCAGAACUUACUGGCCUAU